CCCAGUGUUCAGACUACGUGUUC
RNAcentral lists this microRNA (23 nucleotides) under Xenopus laevis (African clawed frog). RNAcentral's name for it is "Xla-Mir-199-P3b_5p (mature (guide))". The record is from RNAcentral. RNAcentral also lists the same sequence under 1 other name. Lineage: Eukaryota; Metazoa; Chordata; Amphibia; Anura; Pipidae.